AUGCAAACAGUGCCAACAAAGAAGAAAAAUAAGACAAGUGCAAAGAAGCCAGAAUGGAUGUCCAAAGAACUUCUAACUGAGCUAAAGCUCAAAAGUGACAUGCACAAGAAGUGGAAAAGGGGAGAAAUCACCAAAGAAGAAUUCAAACGUAUAGCCAACUCCUGUAGGGAAAAGGUUCGCAAGGCUAAAGCGCAAAAUGAGCUCAGGCUUGCCAGGGACAUAAAAAACAACAAAAAAGGUUUUUUUGCUUAUGUUGGUAGAAAAAGGAAGAAAAAGGAGGCGAUAGGGCCACUGCAAGGAGUAGAUGGGGUGAUGGUGACAGGGGAUAGGGAAAAGGCAGAACUGCUUAAUGCCUUCUUUGCCUCGGUCUUCUCACAAAAAGAAAGCCAUCUUCAACCUCAGCAACAUGGAAUGGACGAAGGAUUGGGGGAAAUCCAACCCCAAAUAGGGAAACAAGUUGUCCAGGAACACCUGGCCACUCUAAACGAAUUCAAGUCCCCAGGGCCAGAUCAGCUACAUCCAAGAGUAUUGAAGGAACUAGCGGAAGUUAUUUCAGAACCACUGGCAAUCAUCUUCGAGAGUUCUUGGAGAACAGGAGAAGUCCCAGCAGAUUGGAGGAGGGCGAAUGUGGUCCCUAUCUUCAAGAAGGGAAAAAAGAACAACCCAAACAAUUACCGUCCGGUCAGCCUCACAUCAAUACCAGGCAAGAUUCUGGAAAAGAUCAUUAAGGAAGUGGUCUGCAAACACUUAGAAACAAAUGCGGUCAUUGCUAAUAGUCAACACGGAUUUACCAAAAACAAGUCAUGCCAGACUAAUCUGAUCUCUUUUUUCGAUAGAGUUACGAGUUGGGUCGAUACAGGGAAUGCCGUGGAUGUAGCAUAUCUAGAUUUCAGUAAGGCCUUCGACAAAAUCCACCUAAUAGUAGCAUUGCCUAGUCACGUUUGACUAUUUUGUUUGCAAGAAGGUCAUGGGGGAUCUUGUCGAAGGCCUUGCUAAAAUCAAAAUAUGCUAUAUCCACAGAAUUUCCUGCAUCUACCAAGCUUGUAACUCUACCAAGCCUGUAACUCUCUAGUCCCUCAUGAAUGUGGAAGACCUAUUAUACUCUUGCAGGUGGGCAUCCAACCACUGUUUAGAAAAUGCUUCUGAAAGAGAGUUCGCCACCUUCCAAGGAAGUCUGUUUCACUUUUCAAAGGGUAAGCACUGUCCAUUCUCACUGGAAUCACAUGCUGGCUUCCCUUUUGACUAUACUGUCAAAUGAAUUAUUGGCCCAUGGGAUAUUUAGACAACUUCCAAAAACCCAGCAACUCUGCAUAUCCCAUUUCUACUGCUUGUCUUUAAUGGGGAAGGUAGAAUAUGGUAAAGAUAGCUGAUUUUACACAGGAAACUGCUGAGUCAAGCCAUCUAGGCUAGUACCAUCAGCUUUGACUAGAGAAAUAGUUAUGCAGAGUUUCAGGCAGCACAAAAUCACAACCUACAAAAUUCCUGGAAAUGACAUAUUUUUUCAGAUGUGGGUAGGUGAAGCCCAGUGGGAACAGAUAUUGUACUGCAAAAUACAGAAAUUAAACACUUAAAACACAUUAAAAUAGGCUUUAAACACUCAUAAAACCAGGAAAAACAAGCCUAGAAUUCAUAUUUGGAAACAGUGAAACAGUAAUUUGUGUGACUUCCUUAAAUUACGAAGGCCUCUGACAACGAAGUUUCUUUUUGCAACAUCUUUUCCUACCCAUCAAGCCUCUUUUUUCCUCCUCAUCUGCUGUCUACUCAUUUAGCAUCGUCAGCCCCUGGAGAAACACAGAUUUUCGGUAUCAAGUUGUAGCAGUAUGUCUACAACAAACAAUAUAAUGAAAUUUGAGUUGGAAAAGAGGAUGAUUCUGCAACAGGCAAGGUAAACAACAGCUUCCUUCAGAAUGACUUAUAUAGCUUGGGUGAACAGCAAAAUGAAAAGAUAAGGAAAAGCAAAUAAGACUACCUCAUCAGAUGCUUCCAAUAUGUUACAAAAAGCAGAGCUCUGUAAGUUUGGUCACCAAAAUGGAAAUAAUAGAAAUGGAGACUGAUAAAAAAAAAACAAUCUUGGAUAUAUAUGGGAUGAAACUUUGAAAUGAUCUAAAUGCCCUCAUUAUGCAAAGCUUACUGACAUGGUUGUUUAAUUUCACAUGGAUGUGUUUUAGUUCUGAAUUCUAAAAAUUGCUGAAACACAUUGAACUUUUCUUCUUUGUUGUGUUAUCAGAACCUAUUCCUGUUUCCAUUUUAUUUCUGUCUCUGGUAUCAAUUUUUCUGUUAAUGAAGGAAUGCCUGGAAAUAGAAAAUUCCUAGAUAAAACUUAAAGUAAUUUGUUGGAUGCAGAAAGGUGAUACUGUGGAUAUCAGUCCUGAGGGUAUAGGAGUCAUGCUGUAGUGAUAGCUCAGUUAAUAUAGUAGAUAUAUUUCCAGGCAUUCCAAGUUCUCCAGCUAAUUCUCUGACAUUCUUCUCUUGUAAGUUACCAUAGAGCCACCCUGGAGGACCUAGCAAAUUCCUGGAAAGGAAACAUCCCUAGGAUUUUUCUAGGUCCUCCUCCAUAGCAACUCCAGAGUAAUGUCUAGUGGAAGUUGUUCAUGCAAUAGGACUCACUAUUAUCCAUGAUUUCCUGUUGAUACAAGGGUCAUGCUGCACUUAUAUUAUGGUUUAAUUAUGGCAGAUUGUUUGGAUAUUCUAUGCAAAACAGGCAGUGUUGAAAUAUUUUCAAAUAAAUGAAUACUAAUACCAACAAUGCCCGAUACAGUUAUGUCAUAAAACAUUUGUCUGAAUCUUCUCUCCUUUCCAGAUAAAUCCGAAGCGAGGUGCCUCUGGCAUUGAUGCAAUGCAGCAGUAUCUGGGCCAUUGAUCCCAUUUUAAAAGCGUUAGUAAUUAUUUGAUUCUAGUGGAAAUUAAGGCAUAAGCUGAUUUACCAAAAAAAACCCUGUUGCUAUUCGUACAACUAAUUAAAUACCCAAUGAAGUGCACAUUGUUUGGAAUCCAAAGGUCACAGCUGUUCAGGACAUCAGCUACUAUAAACCAGUUAAGAAGCGGUCAGUCCAAUUUGCACCUUGAUAGAUAAUGAUUGGGGUGUCCACAAGAGAUCUCUAAUUUCCUGCUGAUGAAAACCUGCCUGUCCUAAUAUUCAGAGUUAUCUGUCUUUCAGAGCAUUUGGGGCUCUUGCCAAAUUUUCAGAGGGACUUGUAAAAGCAGAUUGUUCCCUUACAAGACUUGCAAUAUAAAAGAUAGCCACUUUCUCUAUUACAUAAGCUAAAGCUGUUUCCAUAUGGAAAAGAAAUAUAAUCAGUUAUUGUGCGCUUGAGAGCAGGUUAAACAGAAAUAAAAUAAGGGAUGUGUGUUUCUGCUUGUUGUUCUGAUGGUGAAAAUCAUAUCCUGCAAUUGCCUUGGCUUAGCAGGGACAGUCCUGAUUAGUUCUGUGUUGUUCCACUUUCACAUUGUAUCCAUUUGUUUUUCCUUUAUCUGCUGUCUCCAUUUCUCUUCAGCUGACUUAAGUUGCUACAGAGUUGUUUAAAAGUAAAAAAAAAAAAAAAAAGGAAAAAAAGGAAAAAAAAGGUAAUUUGCAAUCAAUUGACUCACCAGAAUGGAGACAACAAGAUCUUGCCUUUUCCAGUACACUCGGGCCAAAGCAAUCUGUUGCGGCCUCUUCCAGCUUCUCUCUUUUUCCUUUUGCCACCUCAAUGACACAUUUAUAUUACUUGGUCACACAUGCCCUGGUUUUCAUCUGUGAAAUAUUGAAGGGUGUGGAGGAUGCCUACAAGAGAAGUUAAGCAUUCCUAUUGUUGGGAGGUAAGAUCUAUUCCUAGGUUAACACUGUUGCUGCUAAGUAAUAAGACUCUGAACCUAAAGUUUGAUGAGGAGAUAAUUAUGGUCAGGAUCCUACCUCAAGGUAGUGUAGAAUAAUUCUCCAUGUCUAGUGUUACAUAGUGAUUACAUUGAUUAUGCUCUGCAACCCAUGGGUUGAAUGGCAAUUUCACACAAUUGAGUCCAUAUCUGACUGUGCCAGUUCACGAGCACCUCUAUUCUAUGCAUAUUUCCUAUCCAUGUGUAUUUGAUGUGUGUGGCUGGCUAUCUCAUACACAUGCAUAUCCAUGAUGGCAUCCUAUAUACAAAACUGUCUCCUCAACCUUGAACUUAGUUCAGCUGUUCUGCAUCAAACAAAAAUGUUCAGUUGCUUCCAUAGGAGAACUUACACAUGACCCAGACAUUGACAGGAUUCCAGCUGUUUGUAUAUUACUUGAUUUUUCUCAGCAAGCACUGCCCACUCAGUGGCAUCCUGUGAACCUUUCUGGGUGUAUAUUUCCUAAGUCUAUUUCUGAUGGUGUUGUGCUGAUGUCUACACAGUCCAGCAGAGUGGAGAUUGUCACCUUGCCCUCUGUGCUGCCAUCACCAAUCCCAAUUGAACACAGAGCUCUAUAAAAGCUCUUGACUGCCAGAAACUCUUCAUUCUGACAUUAACAGUGGUGUCCACACAACCAGGAAGAAGAAAAGUGAUUUCUCCACAUUCUUGGUCAUAUGGUUGACUCGUGAUGUCCGAAUAAGGCAUCUCUGGAUGCCAGGAACAAAACUCUGUAUCUGGCUGAGAUCUGCAGGAAUGGUCACAUGACCAUAAUCCUUUUCCUUUUCCAUGCACUGAUGAGUACAAGGAAAUUGUGAUGGUGCCAGUGUCCGAUCCGAACAGUGGAGUGGUCCAAAUCCAGCUGUCCAGACUACCCCAAAGCCACAGGAUAUUCUAGAGUAUCCCUGACCUUGGUUUAGCUAUGGAAAACCUAUCAUAUUAAUUGGAAGUAGUCAAACAUUAUGGGGACAGUCAGAAAUUAAUUUUGAGUAAAUGCAAGUUUUCUUGUCCAUACCAACCCACCCUAAGACAGUUGUAAUGUGCGAAUGAUCUAAGAUAUCUUGUGUUGAUGAGGAUGUCUGUGACUGAAGUUAAUUUUGACAUUUACAGUAUUAGAUAGUUACUCACAGAGCAUGCAAAACUGCAUUUUUGGAUGGCAAACCACAGAAUUCCUCAGCUGGUGGUGGCCAGUGGUGUCCAUUCAGAGGUGAAACAAAUCCACUUUGGAUUUUACUGUAGAUAUUAAAGGAGCUGUCCAAUACAGUGGAUUCUAUUUACAAGACAGGUUUAGCACCCUGGGUAAUAUCAAAGUCUGGGCAUGCAGGUAAACUGCAGAAUUAAUGUAGUUUGAAUCCAUUUUAAAUGCAGUGGUUCAAUAUUAUAGAGUCGUGGGAGUUGUAUUUUGAAAUGUCAGCGAGGGCUGUUUCCGCCCCAACCUAAAAAUCCAGGAUUCCAAAAGCUCAAGCCAUGCCAGUUAGUGGUGUCAAACUGCAUUAAUUCUACAGUGUAGAUACAUCUUGUAAUAAAACUCAGAGUUGGCUUCCUCCACCCAUGAUGUGGAAGCCAGAAGCCACCAGUCAUCACUUUUAAGACAUACAAAAAAAUAGUAAGUAUAACAUGCCCAGCUCUAGCUAUUUUGUUGCCAUUCUGUUCUCACUGGGAAGCAAGGUAUUCUUAGAAACUGUAUAAGUUUUCUUUGAGUCCCUCUUCUUCUCUCUUACCAUCUGAUCCUGAUUUCCAUCCAAUGGUGAUGAGGCAUUUAUGAUAGAGAUGACUUUUCUGCCAAUGACACAUCUUCAUCUCCAUUACAAAUCAGACUGAACCAAGAACUGCUUCAACUUGCCGUUCGAUACACCGCAAUGAAUAGCUUGGCAUUAUUGCAAGCUGCAUUCUCCCACCAGGGUCUGUACCUAGGAAAAUGAAAAAAUGUCACCAAUGUCUCA
This is a long non-coding RNA of Anolis carolinensis (green anole), 5790 nucleotides long. Lineage: Eukaryota; Metazoa; Chordata; Lepidosauria; Squamata; Anolidae. The record is from Ensembl.